GUUCCUUGGAAAAGGACAGCUGAGAGGGUGAGACUCCCGUCCGCCUGGUGGAGUGAGUCGUUGUCAACGAGUCGAGUUGUUUGGGAUUGCAGCUCUAAUUUGGUGGUAAAUUCCAUCUAAAGCUAAAUAUUGGUGGGAGACCGAUAGCGUACAAGUACCGUGAGGGAAAGAUGCAAAGAACUUUGAAAAGAGAGUUAAAGAGUACCUGAAAUUGCUGAAACGGAAGCGAAGGAAACCAGUGUUUGUUGGUUCAUAUUUCCCUUGUCACUUGUGAUGUGGGCGCUGUGAGCUUGCGUGGGUUUGCUUUGGUUGAUUCCUUUGGAAGAGCGCAGUCAGAGUUGAUGUCU
This 347-nucleotide ribosomal RNA is filed under the name Pseudo-nitzschia galaxiae. RNAcentral's name for it is "LSU rRNA". It matches the Rfam family "Eukaryotic large subunit ribosomal RNA", at positions 185 to 544 of the family's 3401-position model. Lineage: Eukaryota; Bacillariophyta; Bacillariophyceae; Bacillariales; Bacillariaceae. The record is from RNAcentral.